GAACAGGAUUCAGCAGAUCAAAGUUUCCCAGCAUCUGUGAUAGUCUGAGGCCAGCAGGAGGGAAGGAAAACAAAGACUCUCAACCCCAGCCCCAGGUGUCAUGAACAUUCAUGGGGGAGAAAGGGAGCAGAGAGUGUUGAGUCUCUGAAGAGGGGACAGUGGAAAACAGCUCUAAGCAGAAAUUGCCGGCUUCACUUCACUUCUGUGCCUUUUCCCUCUGCUGUCUCCUGAAUUACAUUUGUUUUUCCACAAAAGAAAAAGAAAGAAAGAAAGAAAGAAAGAGAAGGAUUCUUCUGCCUUUGAUGAGUGUUCACAAAUUGUAAAAACUUCCAUGAAGCAUGAACAAGUAUCAAUGUUUCACCUUGGAACAGGGAACCAAAAUAGUACAUAAAGCUCUAUUAUCACAUGAUCCAGCAACCUCACUACUGGGUGAUUGCCCAAAGGAAAAGAAAUCAUUAUAUCAAAAAGAUCCCUGCACACGUGUUUAUCACAGCACCAUUCACAAGAGCAAAGAUAUGAAAUCAACCUCAGUGUCCAUCAGUGGAUGAUUGGAUAAAUCGAAUGUGGUAUAUAUACACAAUGGAACACUACACAGCCAUACAAAAUAAAAUCAUGUAUUUUGCAGCAACAUGGCUAGAACGGGAGGCCAUUAUCUUAAGUGAAAUAACUCAGAAACAGAAAGUCAAAUACUGCAUGCUUUCACUAAUAAGUGGGAGAUAAAUAAUGUGUCCACAUGGACAUCCAGCGUGGAAUAAUAGACAUUGGAGACUCAGAAGGGCAGGAGGCUGAGGGGGUGAGGGAUGAGAAAUUAUUUAAUGGGUACAAUGUACACUAUUCAGGUGAUAGAUACAUUAAAAGCCCAAACUUUACCACUAUGCAAUAUAUCCAUGUAACUGCACUUGUAUCCCUUAAAUUUAUACAAAUAAAAAAAAUAAGCUUCUACAUAUACUUUGCACCAACCCAUUGUAUUUUACUUCCCAUCAGUAGAAAUACAAUUCUCUCUUUUACUUGAGGUAAAAAAAAAAAAAAAAAAUUCGUUGUUGUUAUUGUUUGUUUUGUUUUGUUUCUACGAUGAGAAAUACCAGUUCAUGGCAUUGCUGAGGGGAGGCUACAUGAACAGUAAGCAGUCAAAGCUGCAACAAAUAGAAUAAUUAAUAAGACUUGGUCUACCCAAAGAGACAGCAGGACCCAUGAUGGAGAAGGUGCGUGUGAAUGAAAUCACCCCAGCAAGGCGUGUGCAUUGGUUUCCUGGAGGGCUGCCAUCACAAAUUACUACACACUGCAUGGCUUAAACUAAUGGAGAUUUAUUCUCUCAGCCUUCUGGAGGCCAGAAGCAUCUGAAAUCAAGGGAUCAGCAGGAUGGGUUCCUUCUGGAUGCUCUAGGAAACACUCUGUUUAUGACACUUCUGCUUCUGGUGGUUGCCAGCCAUUCUUGACAUUCUUUGACUUGUAGAUGCAUCACUCCAAUCUCCAUCUCCAUCUUCACAUGGUCUUUUUCUUUAUAUCUCUCUGUGUCCUCUCCUCUUCUGUUUAUUUAUUUUUUCGAGACCCGGUUAUGAGACUGGCUAAUUUUUGUAUUCUGUAUUUUUUGUACAAAAGAUGUUUCACCAUGUUGCCCAGACUGGUUUCAAACUCCUGGGCUCAAGCUAUCCAGCUGCCUCAGCCUCCCAAAGUGCUUGGAUUACAGGCAUGAGCCACCACACCCAGUCCUCCUCUCCUCUUCUUAUAAGGGUGUCAGUCAUUAAAUUUAGGGCCUACUUAACCUGCAAAGAUUCUACUUCCCGAUAACGACACAUUGUGAAGUUCCAGAUGGCCAUGAAUUAUGAAUUAUCAGUGGAGAAUACUACUUAGCUCACUACAACCUGCAAAAGUGCAAGAACACACCUUCUGUAAUCUUCUGUGACCAGAGGAGGGAAAGAGACUCAAAAAGAUUGGAAGGGCUGAGGCUGAGAAAUGGAGUGAAUUUCCUAUGGGUGACUUUUCCAUUUCCAGGAAGUAUGUGGUAAGAUUAUGAAGGGGAUCAGAAUAUGCCACCCCAAAAUAUGACACUUUGGUGCAAGCAUUAUUUUGAGCUAAAGGCUACUGAGUAAAAGUAGACACAGGACAAGCUUUCUACCCUCCCACUUUCUGCUUAAAAGCAGGGCAUAUGUUUUCCAUUUGAAAAGAAAAUUCAUUUGUAAAGAAAAAUUUCAUUUAUAAAGGUGUUCUCUCAUGGAUGAUUCCAGAGAUAGAGAUUAUCACCUGAGAUGACUUGAGUCUAUAUAAUAAUCUAUACUUACCAGGCAUUUUCUAGUCACCUUCUACAAACUUACCCCUAUCCUAGAAGCUUAAAUUCCAUUUGCCUUUGUCUAGUUCUUUAUCUAAACUUUGUCGCCCUGUGUUAAGAUGGUAUAUAAUCCCCUAGGCCCAAGCACCUCUUUGGGGUUCUCACUUCUUUUCCAUGUGUCUCUCCACGUGCACACAAAAUAAACCAUUUCUUC
RNAcentral lists this long non-coding RNA (2480 nucleotides) under Homo sapiens (human). The record is from RNAcentral. Lineage: Eukaryota; Metazoa; Chordata; Mammalia; Primates; Hominidae.